Molecule: ribosomal RNA, 442 nt
Filed under: uncultured bacterium
Lineage: Bacteria
Description: partial 16S ribosomal RNA
Rfam family: Bacterial small subunit ribosomal RNA
Source: RNAcentral
CCUACGGGAGGCAGCAGUGGGGGAUAUUGCACAAUGGGGGAAACCCUGAUGCAGCGACGCCGCGUGGGCGAAGAAGUAUUUCGGUAUGUAAAGCCCUAUCAGCAGGGAAGAAGAAAUGACGGUACCUGAGUAAGAAGCAUCGGCUAAAUACGUGCCAGCAGCCGCGGUAAUACGGAUGGUGCAAGCGUUAUCCGGAUUUACUGGGCGUAAAGGGAGCGCAGGCGGCACGGCAAGCCUGAUGUGAAAGCCCCGGGCCCAACCGGGGGACUGCAUUGGGAACUGCCGGGCUGGAGUGCCGGAGAGGUAGGCGGAAUUCCUGGUGUAGCGGUGAAAUGCGUAGAUAUUAGGAGGAACACCGGUGGCGAAGGCGGCCUCCUGGACGGUGACUGACGCUGAGGCUCGAAAGCGUGGGGAGCAAACAGGAUUAGAUACCCCGGUAGUC